RNAcentral lists this ribosomal RNA (988 nucleotides) under Claviceps fusiformis. RNAcentral describes it as "LSU rRNA". It matches the Rfam family "Eukaryotic large subunit ribosomal RNA", at positions 1 to 1035 of the family's 3401-position model. The record is from RNAcentral. Lineage: Eukaryota; Fungi; Ascomycota; Sordariomycetes; Hypocreales; Clavicipitaceae.
CUGCUGGUAAAGGUCAUUACGUAUUACUUUACUUACCGGAGGAAAAGAAACCAACAGGGAUUGCCCCAGUAACGGCGAGUGAAGCGGAACAGCUCAAAUUUGAAAUCUGGCCCCCCGGGGCCCGAGUUGUAAUUUGUAGAGGAUGCUUUUGGCGAGGCGCCUUCCGAGUUCCCUGGAACGGGACGCCAUAGAGGGUGAGAGCCCCGUCUGGUCGGACGCCGAGCCUCUGUAAAGCUCCUUCGACGAGUCGAGUAGUUUGGGAAUGCUGCUCUAAAUGGGAGGUACUUGUCUUCUAAAGCUAAAUACCGGCCAGAGACCGAUAGCGCACAAGUAGAGUGAUCGAAAGAUGAAAAGCACUUUGAAAAGAGGGUUAAACAGUACGUGAAAUUGUUGAAAGGGAAGCGCCUGUGACCAGACUUGCGCCCGUCGGAUCACCCAGCGUUCUCGCUGGUGCACUCCGGCGGGCGCAGGCCAGCAUCAGCUCGUCUCGGGGGACAAAGGCGGCGGGAACGUGGCUCCUCCGGGAGUGUUAUAGCCCGCCGCGCAAUGCCCUGGGGCGGGCUGAGGACCGCGCGUAAGCAUGGAUGCUGGCGUAAUGGUCAUCAGCGACCCGUCUUGAAACACGGACCAAGGAGUCGUCUUCGUAUGCGAGUGUUCGGGUGUCAAACCCCUACGCGUAAUGAAAGUGAACGCAGGUGAGAGCUUCGGCGCAUCAUCGACCGAUCCUGAUGUUCUCGGAUGGAUUUGAGUAGGAGCAUACGGGGCCGGACCCGAAAGAAGGUGAACUAUGCCUGUGUAGGGUGAAGCCAGAGGAAACUCUGGUGGAGGCUCGCAGCGGUUCUGACGUGCAAAUCGAUCGUCAAACAUGGGCAUGGGGGCGAAAGACUAAUCGAACCUUCUAGUAGCUGGUUUCCGCCGAAGUUUCCCUCAGGAUAGCAGUGUUGAUCUCAGCUUUAUGAGGUAAAGCGAAUGAUUAGGGACCCGGGGG